CAGAGUUGAAAAACUCCCAAACCCUUUGUGAAUCUACCUAUCGUUGCUUCGGCAGGCGGCCCCUGGGAGGGGCUGUAGCCUUUCGAGGUGCCUGCCGGAGGUAUGAAACGCUAUAUCUACUGUAUCCUCUGAGCAUAAAUAAAAUAAGUCA
This 151-nucleotide unclassified non-coding RNA is filed under the name uncultured fungus. Its description in RNAcentral is "sequence contains ITS1, 5.8S rRNA gene". The record is from RNAcentral. Lineage: Eukaryota; Fungi.